UUAGUUGAACCUUGGGCCUGGCUGGCCGGUCCGCCUCACCGCGUGCACUGGUUCGGCCGGGCCUUUCCCUCUGGGGAGCCCUAUGCCCUUCACUGGGUGUAGUGGGGAACCAGGACUUUUACUGUGAAAAAAUUAGAGUGUUCAAAGCAGGCCUAUGCUCGAAUACAUCAGCAUGGAAUAAUAGAAUAGGACGUGUGGUUCUAUUUUGUUGGUUUCUAGGACCGCCGUAAUGAUUAAUAGGGACAGUCGGGGGCAUCAGUAUUCAAUUGUCAGAGGUGAAAUUCUUGGAUUUAUUGAAGACUAACUACUGCGAAAGCAUUUGCCAAGGAUGUUUUCAUUAAUCAGGAACGAAAGUUAGGGGAUCGAAGACGAUCAGAUACCGUCGUAGUCUUAACCAUAAACUAUGCCGACUAGGGAUCGGACGAUGUUAUUUUUUGACUCGUUCGGCACCUUACGAGAAAUCAAAGUUUUUGGGUUCUGGGGGGAGUAUGGUCGCAAGGCUGAAACUUAA
RNAcentral lists this ribosomal RNA (511 nucleotides) under Xylaria sp. RNAcentral's name for it is "SSU rRNA". It matches the Rfam family "Eukaryotic small subunit ribosomal RNA", at positions 630 to 1147 of the family's 1831-position model. Lineage: Eukaryota; Fungi; Ascomycota; Sordariomycetes; Xylariales; Xylariaceae. The record is from RNAcentral.